CCUACGGGUUGCAGCAGUGAGGAAUAUUGGUCAAUGGGCGCUAGCCUGAACCAGCCAAGUAGCGUGAAGGAUGACUGCCCUAUGGGUUGUAAACUUCUUUUAUAUGGGAAUAAAGUGCAGUAUGUAUACUGCUUUGCAUGUACCUUAUGAAUAAGGAUCGGCUAACUCCGUGCCAGCAGCCGCGGUAAUACGGAGGAUGCGAGCGUUAUCCGGAUUUAUUGGGUUUAAGGGGUGCGUAGGCGGUCCGUUAAGUCAGCGGUAAAAUUGCGGGGCUCAACCCCGUCGAGCCGUUGAAACUGGCAGACUUGAGUUGGCGAGAAGUACGCGGAAUGCGCGGUGUAGCGGUGAAAUGCAUAGAUAUCGCGCAGAACUCCGAUUGCGAAGGCAGCGUACCGGCGCCAGACUGACGCUGAGGCACGAAAGCGUGGGGAUCGAACAGGAUUAGAUACCCUUGUAGUC
This 459-nucleotide ribosomal RNA is filed under the name uncultured bacterium. Its description in RNAcentral is "partial 16S ribosomal RNA". It matches the Rfam family "Bacterial small subunit ribosomal RNA", at positions 338 to 795 of the family's 1533-position model. The record is from RNAcentral.